Molecule: ribosomal RNA, 796 nt
Filed under: Bacillus sp. UFPI CB4-1A
Lineage: Bacteria; Bacillati; Bacillota; Bacilli; Caryophanales; Bacillaceae
Description: bacterial SSU rRNA
Rfam family: Bacterial small subunit ribosomal RNA
Source: RNAcentral
ACGUGGGUAACCUGCCUGUAAGACUGGGAUAACUCCUUUGAAACCGGGGCUAAUACCGGAUGGUUGUUUGAACCGCAUGGUUCAAACAUAAAAGGUGGCUUCGGCUACCACUUACAGAUGGACCCGCGGCGCAUUAGCUAGUUGGUGAGGUAACGGCUCACCAAGGCAACGAUGCGUAGCCGACCUGAGAGGGUGAUCGGCCACACUGGGACUGAGACACGGCCCAGACUCCUACGGGAGGCAGCAGUAGGGAAUCUUCCGCAAUGGACGAAAGUCUGACGGAGCAACGCCGCGUGAGUGAUGAAGGUUUUCGGAUCGUAAAGCUCUGUUGUUAGGGAAGAACAUUUACCGUUCGAAUAGGGCGGUACCUUGACGGUACCUAACCAGAAAGCCACGGCUAACUACGUGCCAGCAGCCGCGGUAAUACGUAGGUGGCAAGCGUUGUCCGGAAUUAUUGGGCGUAAAGGGCUCGCAGGCGGUUUCUUAAGUCUGAUGUGAAAGCCCCCGGCUCAACCGGGGAGGGUCAUUGGAAACUGGGGAACUUGAGUGCAGAAGAGGAGAGUGGAAUUCCACGUGUAGCGGUGAAAUGCGUAGAGAUGUGGAGGAACACCAGUGGCGAAGGCGACUCUCUGGUCUGUAACUGACGCUGAGGAGCGAAAGCGUGGGGAGCGAACAGGAUUAGAUACCCUGGUAGUCCACGCCGUAAACGAUGAGUGCUAAGUGUUAGGGGGUUUCCGCCCCUUAGUGCUGCAGCUAACGCAUUAAGCACUCCGCCCGCGGAGUACGGUCGCAAGAC